GAGGGUAUAGCUCAGUGACGGAGUGCGUGCCUUGCAUGCACAAGGUCCCGGGUUCAAUCCUCAGUACCUCCA
Molecule: transfer RNA, 72 nt
Filed under: Camelus bactrianus (Bactrian camel)
Lineage: Eukaryota; Metazoa; Chordata; Mammalia; Artiodactyla; Camelidae
Also listed under: 1 other name
Rfam family: tRNA
About the family: Transfer RNA (tRNA) molecules are approximately 80 nucleotides in length. Their secondary structure includes four short double-helical elements and three loops (D, anti-codon, and T loops). Further hydrogen bonds mediate the characteristic L-shaped molecular structure. tRNAs have two regions of fundamental functional importance: the anti-codon, which is responsible for specific mRNA codon recognition, and the 3' end, to which the tRNAs corresponding amino acid is attached (by aminoacyl-tRNA synthetases). tRNAs cope with the degeneracy of the genetic code in two manners: having more than one tRNA (with a specific anti-codon) for a particular amino acid; and 'wobble' base-pairing, i.e. permitting non-standard base-pairing at the 3rd anti-codon position.
Source: Rfam by way of RNAcentral